GGUUAAGCGACUAAGCGUACACGGUGGAUGCCCUGGCAGUCAGAGGCGAUGAAGGACGUGCUAAUCUGCGAUAAGCGUCGGUAAGGUGAUAUGAACCGUUAUAACCGGCGAUUUCCGAAUGGGGAAACCCAGUGUGAUUCGUCACACUAUCAUUAACUGAAUCCAUAGGUUAAUGAGGCGAACCGGGGGAACUGAAACAUCUAAGUACCCCGAGGAAAAGAAAUCAACCGAGAUUCCCCCAGUAGCGGCGAGCGAACGGGGAGCAGCCCAGAGCCUGAAUCAGUGUGUGUGUUAGUGGAAGCGUCUGGAAAGGCGUGCGAUACAGGGUGACAGCCCCGUACACAAAAAUGCACAUACUGUGAGCUCGAUGAGUAGGGCGGGACACGUGGUAUCCUGUCUGAAUAUGGGGGGACCAUCCUCCAAGGCUAAAUACUCCUGACUGACCGAUAGUGAACCAGUACCGUGAGGGAAAGGCGAAAAGAACCCCGGCGAGGGGAGUGAAAAAGAACCUGAAACCGUGUACGUACAAGCAGUGGGAGCACGCUUAGGCGUGUGACUGCGUACCUUUUGUAUAAUGGGUCAGCGACUUAUAUUCUGUAGCAAGGUUAACCGAAUAGGGGAGCCGAAGGGAAACCGAGUCUUAACUGGGCGUUAAGUUGCAGGGUAUAGACCCGAAACCCGGUGAUCUAGCCAUGGGCAGGUUGAAGGUUGGGUAACACUAACUGGAGGACCGAACCGACUAAUGUUGAAAAAUUAGCGGAUGACUUGUGGCUGGGGGUGAAAGGCCAAUCAAACCGGGAGAUAGCUGGUUCUCCCCGAAAGCUAUUUAGGUAGCGCCUCGUGAAUUCAUCUCCGGGGGUAGAGCACUGUUUCGGCAAGGGGGUCAUCCCGACUUACCAACCCGAUGCAAACUGCGAAUACCGGAGAAUGUUAUUACGGGAGACACACGGCGGGUGCUAACGUCCGUCGUGAAGAGGGAAACAACCCAGACCGCCAGCUAAGGUCCCAAAGUCAUGGUUAAGUGGGAAACGAUGUGGGAAGGCCCAGACAGCCAGGAUGUUGGCUUAGAAGCAGCCAUCAUUUAAAGAAAGCGUAAUAGCUCACUGGUCGAGUCGGCCUGCGCGGAAGAUGUAACGGGGCUAAACCAUGCACCGAAGCUGCGGCAGCGACGCUUAUGCGUUGUUGGGUAGGGGAGCGUUCUGUAAGCCUGUGAAGGUGUGCUGUGAGGUAUGCUGGAGGUAUCAGAAGUGCGAAUGCUGACAUAAGUAACGAUAAAGCGGGUGAAAAGCCCGCUCGCCGGAAGACCAAGGGUUCCUGUCCAACGUUAAUCGGGGCAGGGUGAGUCGACCCCUAAGGCGAGGCCGAAAGGCGUAGUCGAUGGGAAACAGGUUAAUAUUCCUGUACUUGGUGUUACUGCGAAGGGGGGACGGAGAAGGCUAUGUUGGCCGGGCGACGGUUGUCCCGGUUUAAGCGUGUAGGCUGGUUUUCCAGGCAAAUCCGGAAAAUCAAGGCCGAGGCGUGAUGACGAGGCACUACGGUGCUGAAGCAACAAAUGCCCUGCUUCCAGGAAAAGCCUCUAAGCAUCAGGUAACAUCAAAUCGUACCCCAAACCGACACAGGUGGUCAGGUAGAGAAUACCAAGGCGCUUGAGAGAACUCGGGUGAAGGAACUAGGCAAAAUGGUGCCGUAACUUCGGGAGAAGGCACGCUGAUACGUAGGUGAAGCGACUUGCUCGUGGAGCUGAAAUCAGUCGAAGAUACCAGCUGGCUGCAACUGUUUAUUAAAAACACAGCACUGUGCAAACACGAAAGUGGACGUAUACGGUGUGACGCCUGCCCGGUGCCGGAAGGUUAAUUGAUGGGGUUAGCGCAAGCGAAGCUCUUGAUCGAAGCCCCGGUAAACGGCGGCCGUAACUAUAACGGUCCUAAGGUAGCGAAAUUCCUUGUCGGGUAAGUUCCGACCUGCACGAAUGGCGUAAUGAUGGCCAGGCUGUCUCCACCCGAGACUCAGUGAAAUUGAACUCGCUGUGAAGAUGCAGUGUACCCGCGGCAAGACGGAAAGACCCCGUGAACCUUUACUAUAGCUUGACACUGAACAUUGAGCCUUGAUGUGUAGGAUAGGUGGGAGGCUUUGAAGUGUGGACGCCAGUCUGCAUGGAGCCGACCUUGAAAUACCACCCUUUAAUGUUUGAUGUUCUAACGUGGACCCGUGAUCCGGGUUGCGGACAGUGUCUGGUGGGUAGUUUGACUGGGGCGGUCUCCUCCUAAAGAGUAACGGAGGAGCACGAAGGUUGGCUAAUCCUGGUCGGACAUCAGGAGGUUAGUGCAAUGGCAUAAGCCAGCUUGACUGCGAGCGUGACGGCGCGAGCAGGUGCGAAAGCAGGUCAUAGUGAUCCGGUGGUUCUGAAUGGAAGGGCCAUCGCUCAACGGAUAAAAGGUACUCCGGGGAUAACAGGCUGAUACCGCCCAAGAGUUCAUAUCGACGGCGGUGUUUGGCACCUCGAUGUCGGCUCAUCACAUCCUGGGGCUGAAGUAGGUCCCAAGGGUAUGGCUGUUCGCCAUUUAAAGUGGUACGCGAGCUGGGUUUAGAACGUCGUGAGACAGUUCGGUCCCUAUCUGCCGUGGGCGCUGGAGAACUGAGGGGGGCUGCUCCUAGUACGAGAGGACCGGAGUGGACGCAUCACUGGUGUUCGGGUUGUCAUGCCAAUGGCACUGCCCGGUAGCUAAAUGCGGAAGAGAUAAGUGCUGAAAGCAUCUAAGCACGAAACUUGCCCCGAGAUGAGUUCUCCCUGACCCU
This 2796-nucleotide ribosomal RNA is filed under the name Escherichia coli. Its description in RNAcentral is "partial 23S ribosomal RNA". It matches the Rfam family "Bacterial large subunit ribosomal RNA". Lineage: Bacteria; Pseudomonadati; Pseudomonadota; Gammaproteobacteria; Enterobacterales; Enterobacteriaceae. The record is from RNAcentral. RNAcentral also lists the same sequence under 1 other name.